RNAcentral lists this long non-coding RNA (666 nucleotides) under Gallus gallus (chicken). RNAcentral describes it as "long non-coding RNA NONGGAT000039". The record is from RNAcentral. Lineage: Eukaryota; Metazoa; Chordata; Aves; Galliformes; Phasianidae.
UUUUUGUCUGUCAUUGAGUUUCUGCAUGCAAAACUUUAGUCCCAAAUGGACCACACACUUUUUUUCAAAGACAGCCAGCUGCCUUACUGAAUGGGGAGAACUUUUCCCCUUUGCUGUCAGAAAUUCAGACAGAAGAGGCAUCUCCCCACCAGCUGCAUCUUUCUUCUUCAUGCUGAGAUCCCACAGGAUUUUCAGAAACCUGGAAAGAAAAUAGGAAUGCAAAUCCUUCCGACUUUCAGGGGACUUACGCACCAGCAUUGCUCAGGCAUUGCUGAAAAUUCAUCACCCAGAGCAUGAGUAGCAUUUAACGUCAACAGCUCUCCAUAUCAGAAGAGAAAAAGCACUUGUCUGUAAAAGGUUUGUGAGGAUGCAGUGUUCCGGAUUGGUAUUUGGAAAAUUUAAGUCAACCACCCAGAAAAUACUUCAGCACUUCGAUGAGCAUACAAGAUAAAUGUAUUGUGAACCGCAUCAUACUGGAAGGAAGAUGUGAAGGAAAACAGGAUGCUUUCAGUGAUGAGACAAACAUUUUAUGCAGAUGGUAGACGCUACAGAGAAAUGAAUGUUCCAAGCUGCUUACCAGCAAGUGAUGACACUGCCGUCUUGCCAAGAGAAAAUCUUUUCACCGCUUGCUAAAAUCAAAGUUGCCAUGCUGGUGGUCCAUAAAGA